UACGUAGGGGGCGAGCGUUGUCCGGAUUUAUUGGGCGUAAAGAGCGUGUAGGCGGCCAGGUAGGUCUGCUGUGAAAACUCGAGGCUCAACCUCGAGACGUCGGCGGAAACCAUCUGGCUAGAGUCCGGAAGAGGAGAGUGGAAUUCCUGGUGUAGCGGUGAAAUGCGCAGAUAUCAGGAAGAACACCCGUGGCGAAGGCGGAUCUCUGGGCCUUACCUGACGCUCAGGCGCGAAAGCUAGGGGAGCGAACUGG
This 253-nucleotide ribosomal RNA is filed under the name uncultured bacterium. RNAcentral describes it as "partial 16S ribosomal RNA". It matches the Rfam family "Bacterial small subunit ribosomal RNA", at positions 524 to 776 of the family's 1533-position model. The record is from RNAcentral.